Lycium barbarum (goji berry) is the source of this 437-nucleotide long non-coding RNA. RefSeq lists it as uncharacterized. The transcript is spliced from 2 exons. NCBI's taxonomy places the organism in Eukaryota, Viridiplantae, Streptophyta, Magnoliopsida, Solanales, Solanaceae. The record is from RefSeq and is a predicted model, not a curated record.
GCUAAUGAUAAUUCCAACAAAGGUUGGCAUGUAGUGAGGAAGACUCAACCUCGUGAUUCCUAUGAGAUUGUGAAACAAAUGGAUGAUGAUAUUGUAGACUUAGGAAAUCCUUCUCAAAAGAAACGAAAAAGAACUGAUGAGGUUCAUUAUGAAACCAUUAAAGACUGAAAAUGAAGUGGGAUCAAGUAUGAAGACUACUACCAGAUAUGCAUUCGUCGCGCCAGGUGCUAUAGGAAAGGGACGAGGACGAGGAGGGCUUAGAUCUUUGAUUGGGAAAGAGAAUAUGUCAACUAAGAGUUUAUUUCCUCAAUCUAGUGAUAUAGUUAAGCAAUACAUCCAAGAAAUUGAAACAAGUAAGAAUUUUUGUUAAUCUACUGUUUUAAAUUGGCGUAACUGAAUUUCAAUGCUUAAGUAUUAGUAAUAUGAUUUUUCUUCCU